UACGUAGGUGGCAAGCGUUGUCCGGAAUUACUGGGUGUAAAGGGAGCGUAGGCGGGAAAAUAAGUUGAAUGUGAAAUCUAUGGGCUUAACCCAUAUCAGCGUUCAAAACUGUUUUUCUUGAAUGAAGUAGAGGUAGGCGGAAUUCCUAGUGUAGCGGUGAAAUGCGUAAAUAUUAGGAGGAACACCAGUGGCGAAGGCGGCCUACUGGGCUUUAAUUGACGCUGAGGCUCGAAAGCGUGGGUAGCAAACAGG
This 252-nucleotide ribosomal RNA is filed under the name uncultured bacterium. RNAcentral describes it as "partial 16S ribosomal RNA". It matches the Rfam family "Bacterial small subunit ribosomal RNA", at positions 524 to 776 of the family's 1533-position model. The record is from RNAcentral.